Molecule: long non-coding RNA, 1261 nt
Filed under: Oryctolagus cuniculus (rabbit)
Lineage: Eukaryota; Metazoa; Chordata; Mammalia; Lagomorpha; Leporidae
Description: lncRNA (ENSOCUG00000038044.1)
Source: RNAcentral
GCUUGGAACAGUGCCUGAAAUUUUAUUUUGCAGCUGUGGGGAAUCAUUGCAUGGGGACAGUUUACAAAGAAGGGAAUUGUGUGGAAGUUGGGGGAGGGGCUUCUAUAAACACUUCCUUAAACCCAGUCCAAGUCCCAGGCCCUGAGGGUUGUCCUGCACCAGCACCUGAAUAAAUCUCGUGUUUUGGCAUUAGGCAUAUCUAGCCUUCUAUUGGGAAUGGUCCAAGUGCACUCCACUUCAAUAAAAUGCAUGUAAAACUCAGCAAAGAAAUAAUGAACAUCUACCAACAGAUGCUCAGCUUAAUGCUUGGGCCUGAUUUUUUUUAAAAGUACAAAUGAAGAAGAGGAGAUGCUUGUUACAGUUGGGGAAACUACAUUCUGUCUGGACAGAUGAGAUUAACAGCAGGAAACAUUACAGAAGAAUGCAAGAGAGUAGUAAGUGCUAAAUGGUGUGCCGGAGAUGAAAAGUGCUGCAAGAAUUCAGAGAAAAAGGAGGGGAGGGAGGCCGGAGAGAGGAAAGGCUUCUUAGAGGUGAUAUUAGGAGUUGGACUUUGAAGGGUGGGGAAGAUCUGGCCGGGAGAGGGAAGGGUGAGAUACGCUUAUCACAUUCCCAAAGGGGACCCAUUAAGGACCCUUUUAAGUAGGUGGCACCCUUGGGACAUGUAAUAAUGGACUCACUUUACAGUCACACUAGACUGACAGAAAAAGUGGGACUCUUCCUUUGUCCUACCACUAAGUGGCUGCAUCCCCUUGAUCAAAUUUCCUUCUAUUUUCUAGGCCUCUGUUUCCAUGUCUAUACAGUAAGAGACCUGAAUUCAACAACCUCUGAGAAAUCUUUUGCUCCUCUGAAUACAACCUUACCAGUAGCUAAGAUUCAAUAUGGGCAGGAACAUGGACUGAAACAUGAUGUUGAGGAGGAUUCAGAAUCUGCCUGCCAUCUCCUGGCUGUACCCUUAUGUAAUUCUCUUCCUUUCCUGGUGUGUGGGCUGAAUGUGCUGACUUUCUUCUAGAGAAUGCAGAAAAGGUGCUGGCAUGUUACUUCCGUUGUUAGCCAAUGAAACACUGUGAUUUCUGUCUUGCUACUCUUUCUACUUGCUUAUUUACCUUGAUGAAACAUGAAAUAAGUGCUAUAUUGUGAGCUGACCAAUGGACAGGUUCACAUGGCAAGAAAAUGAGGGAGGUACUGGUCAACAGUCUGUGAGGAACUAAAUCCCGUCAGUGGCCAAGUGAAUAAACUUGGAAGCAGAUCUGUCCGUAGUUCA